Molecule: ribosomal RNA, 499 nt
Filed under: uncultured Comamonas sp.
Lineage: Bacteria; Pseudomonadati; Pseudomonadota; Betaproteobacteria; Burkholderiales; Comamonadaceae
Description: bacterial SSU rRNA
Rfam family: Bacterial small subunit ribosomal RNA
Source: RNAcentral
AGUUUGAUCCUGGCUCAGAUUGAACGCUGGCGGCAUGCUUUACACAUGCAAGUCGAACGGUAACAGGUCUUCGGAUGCUGACGAGUGGCGAACGGGUGAGUAAUACAUCGGAACGUGCCUAGUAUGGGGGAUAACUACUCGAAAGAGUAGCUAAUACCGCAUGAGAUCUACGGAUGAAAGCAGGGGACCUUCGGGCCUUGUGCUACUAGAGCGGCUGAUGGCAGAUUAGGUAGUUGGUGGGGUAAAGGCUUACCAAGCCUGCGAUCUGUAGCUGGUCUGAGAGGACGACCAGCCACACUGGGACUGAGACACGGCCCAGACUCCUACGGGAGGCAGCAGUGGGGAAUUUUGGACAAUGGGCGAAAGUCUGAUCCAGCAAUGCCGCGUGCAGGAUGAAGGCCCUCGGGUUGUAAACUGCUUUUGUACGGAACGAAAAGCCUGGGGCUAAUAUCCCCGGGUCAUGACGGUACCGUAAGAAUAAGCACCGGCUAACUACGUG